AAACGUAGUCCAACAACGAAAGAGCCCUGAAGCUCAAGCGGAGCCCGCUGGCCGCAGGGGCCGCACCACGCCCCAGACCCUGGAGUUUCCGGGUGCGCAGACCCUUGCCAUCAGCAGAGGCUGCCGCUGCGCGUCCCCUAGGCGCGGAAGAGGCGGCUGGUGGUCCCUGACGGCAAGGUGAAGUCGAGGCAGUAAUCGGGAACCCAGGUUUUAUACAUUACGAAUAAAGCUGGCACGUUUCCAUUUCUCCUGGGCAAAUAUUUAGAAGAAAAGUUGCUGGGUAAUUGGUGGAGACAAGGUUUCGCCACAUUGACUGGGCUGGUCUGGAACUCCUGAGCUCAAGCAACCGGCCCUCCUUGACCUCCCAAAGUGCUAGGAUUACAGAAGCACUGAGACCACAGAGGCAAGAGCUGGGGAAGGAAAACUGCCCAUGAGAUGAGAUGUGCCUCUCAGCUUCCAAAAUCGGGGAGAUGCCCCCCAUGGAAUCCAGCCAUCAUGCUGUGAGGAAUCCAAGCAGCUACAUAGAAAGGCCACAACUAGAUAUUCCAGCUGUAGUCAGCUGAAGCUCCAGCCAACAGCCAACAUCAACCACCACACGUGAAAACGAGCAAGCCUUCAGAUGAUUCCGACUCCCAACCUCCAAGCCACCUCAGCUGAAGCCAAGUAGAGCAGAGACUAGCUGUCCCCCAAUGCUCUAAUAUGCAGAUUCAUAAUUAAAAAGAAUGUUAUUGUUCUAA
Molecule: long non-coding RNA, 737 nt
Filed under: Homo sapiens (human)
Lineage: Eukaryota; Metazoa; Chordata; Mammalia; Primates; Hominidae
Description: ZNF529 antisense RNA 1, transcript variant 12 (ZNF529-AS1)
Source: RNAcentral